AUAGCAACAGCAGCGUAGCUGAACAUCUUACGGAUGGCCCAGGGCUCCAAAGGCUCGUUUCCUAAGUGAGAGAGAGCCUGGCUGAAGCUGUAUUACCAUUCAUUCUCCAGCCUCCGAAGUCUCAAAGCAUCACUUCCACCAUACUCUAACUGUCAAGACAAACACAAAGGCCCAGAGCCUGUUCUGCUGGGACACAGAAUCACUUGCUCCAUCUCAUACAUUGAUGAUGAUUAAUUUGUAUGUGUACCUUCCAAAAAAGAUGGUUGUGUUUGAAUGGAGGCCUUCUGGACAGGAAAAUAUGGAGAGUGCGUGCUUUGGAUUCAAGACUGGGAAUGAGGGGACCAGAAACCUAUUCUGUGGCUGUUUCUUGUUAGGACUUUCCUAAGCCUCUGGAAAAGUGCAAAGUACAAUUAACAUUUGAGUCUGUCUGAGUCAUGAAGAAAUGGAGAUUACUGAAAAUAAUUCAUUUUGGUAUCUUCUUACAUCCUGAGAGACUAAUCUUUCCAAGUUCAUCUGAGGCUCCUCUUCUCCAUGACAACCUCAUCCAGGGAUUUCUUCCUGUCCUGGUGUUUUAUGACAUCAUCCUCAUCUCGCUUGUAAGGAUAAUAGCCUUCCUCCAAACCUCACACACUUUUGGAGGAGAUCACUUUUUUUAAAGUGCAUGGAAAUGUUUUGAAACAGUGAAAUCUAUAAUGAUAGGUUUCAUAAUUCUAACAUCCACACCAUAUGAAUCACAUCCUUCCUGAGAUAAUGAGCACACAAUUGCCUGGAUACCUGAAGGAAUGGAGACAGCGGCAGAAAACACUGCAGAGAGGUGGAAACAUCCGUUAAUAUUUUAAAAUCCCAUUACUGCUACCAACAAUAAUAAUGGAUGCAUAGAAAUAGAUCUGGAUUAGCUGAGCUUGAAACAGUCCAUCUCACACACACACAAAAGAAUUUCAGAUACAGUGAACCCACAUGUUGAAGCUUUCUAGUAUAAUAAAAAUUUCAACUGUUCUGUUGAAUCAUCUGCCUGAUUGGAGGCUACAGAAAAGAUGUCAUCUUAGGAGUGCUUGCUCUGAGUGAGGCUCAUCUUCAAAUCUGAAUGACCACAAGGAGAUUUGAUUAUACAUGUGAACACCUCAGAAGGCACAGCCCACCCAGAAGGCAGACAGGUCAGGCUGCUUUUUCUUCAUUGCUUGGAUUCAAUCCUCCGGGCGGCUCAGGCUCAAACAUAACUUAAGCAUGAUUAAACUUUAGAAGAAGCUGCCAGGAAGACUGUGAAAUCUUCAUGCCCAAGGAUCCCUAAAAUUAGGAGCAACAACCACUUGGCUCAGACGGUUUAUGGAGGCAAAGGUUUGGAUGGGAUUAGAGAUUUCUAAAUGUGAGUUCGUGUCCUCUGCCAGACCACCUUACUUCCACCAUUCCUCAGCAAAUCAAGAAAAACAGGAGAAAAGACAUGCCUUUCCAUAAGUUAAAUCUAUUCUGUUUUAAUUCUAUAUUAUAUCUGCUGUACAACUUCUUUUGUUUGUAACACCAUAUUGUUGCUAGUAACUGGAAAUUAAUUUUCACAUGCCUCAGCUUAGAAAAAUAAAAAGCAGCCCUGCAUC
RNAcentral lists this long non-coding RNA (1589 nucleotides) under Homo sapiens (human). RNAcentral describes it as "long intergenic non-protein coding RNA 635". The record is from RNAcentral. Lineage: Eukaryota; Metazoa; Chordata; Mammalia; Primates; Hominidae.